UGACGGUAUCUAACCAGCAAGUCACGGCUAACUACGUGCCAGCAGCCGCGGUAAUACGUAGGGGGCAAGCGUUAUCCGGAUUUACUGGGUGUAAAGGGAGCGUAGACGGCUGUGCAAGUCUGAAGUGAAAGCCCGCGGCUCAACUGCGGAACUGCUUUGGAAACUGUACAGCUUGAGUACCGGAGGGGUAAGCGGAAUUCCUAGUAUAGCGGUGAAAUGCGUAGAUAUUAGGAGGAACACCGGUGGCGAAGGCGGCUUACUGGACGGUAACUGACGUUGAGGCUCGAAAGCGUGGGGAGCAAACAGGAUUAGAUACCCUG
This 320-nucleotide ribosomal RNA is filed under the name uncultured bacterium. RNAcentral describes it as "bacterial SSU rRNA". It matches the Rfam family "Bacterial small subunit ribosomal RNA", at positions 470 to 789 of the family's 1533-position model. The record is from RNAcentral.